RNAcentral lists this ribosomal RNA (1170 nucleotides) under Triticum aestivum (bread wheat). RNAcentral describes it as "partial small subunit ribosomal RNA". The record is from RNAcentral. Lineage: Eukaryota; Viridiplantae; Streptophyta; Magnoliopsida; Poales; Poaceae.
AUGGGGAACUGCUUCGGCUCCGAGGAAACCGAAUUAGAAGGGGGCUCGUCCAUGAGCGUCAUCACUAGCAGAAGUACUAAUGGCGCUGGCAACAUAUCGGCGGCUUUCCUGGAGCCGGAGGAGGGCAUGAUCCUGGAGGUGCCCAACCUGCGCAUUUUCACGUUCGCCGAGCUCAAGGCCGCGACCAGGAACUUCAAGCCCGACACCGUCCUGGGUGAGGGCGGGUUCGGGAGGGUUUACAAGGGCUGGGUCGACAAGAAGAAGACGAUGAACCCCACGAGCAGCGGCGUUGGCAGCGCCAUGGUUAUUGCCGUCAAGAAGCUCAAACCGGGGAGCAGCCAGGGCCUGGAAGAAUGGCAGUGUGAGGUGAACUUCCUUGGGAGGAUGUCGCAUCCGAACCUGGUGAGGCUGCUGGGGUACUGCUUGGAGGAGAGGGAGCUCUUGCUUGUCUACGAGUUCAUGGCCAAGGGGAGCUUGGAGAAUCAUCUCUUCAGAAAAGGCGGCUCCGUCCAUCCAAUCUCAUGGGCCCUACGGUUACGGAUCGCCAUCGGCGCCGCACGCGGCCUCGCCUUCUUGCACUCGUCGGACAAGCAUGUCAUCUACCGAGACUUCAAGUCUUCCAACAUCCUCCUCGACACGCACUACAAUGCCAAGAUAUCCGACUUCGGCCUCGUCAGGAACGGCCCGGCCGACGGCGACAGCCAUGUCACCACCCGCAUCAUGGGCACUUACGGCUACGCUGCACCAGAGUACGUUUCCACAGGUCACCUGUACGUGAAGAGCGACGUCUACGGGUUCGGCGUGGUGCUGCUGGAGAUGCUCACCGGUCUGCGCGCGCUCGACACGGCCCGGCCGGCACCGCAGCUCAACCUCGUGAACUGGGCCAAGCCGUACCUGGCGGACCGCCGGAGGCUGCCGCAGCUGGUAGAUCCGCACCUGGAAGGGCAGUACACGCCGAGGGCCGCCCUGCGAGCCGCGCAGCUCACCAUGAGUUGCCUCGCCGGCGACCCCAAGAACCGUCCCUCCAUGGCCGAGGUCGUCGCGGCGCUCGAGAAGAUCGAGCGCAUGAAGCCGCCACCGCACAGGCUCAUCUCGCCUCGGGCCGCCGCGCGGACUAUGCAUGGGCGCACGCAGACACGUAUACCUACACGUACAGCUAUGCUGCACUGA